Molecule: long non-coding RNA, 1899 nt
Organism: Zonotrichia leucophrys gambelii
Lineage: Eukaryota; Metazoa; Chordata; Aves; Passeriformes; Passerellidae
Exons: 3
Source: RefSeq, a predicted model, not a curated record
GGCCAGGACAGCUGACCUGAACCGGCCAAAGGGAUAUUCCAUACCAUAGAGCAUUAUUCCCAGUAUAUAAACUGCGAGGAGUUGACCAGAGGGAGACUGGCUGGGCAUCAUUCUGUGAGUGGUCUGGAAAUAUCCUGCACACUUCACUUGCCCUCUUCAAAGUUUUAAGCAACUGAGAGCUGAUAAACCUAGCUUGGACAUCAAGGGUAACUGAACAGAGAGCCAAAUCUAACUGAAGCUUUUGUGUUUAAGUUCACAUUCAUGACCAAAGUUUUAAUGCAGUCUACAGCAUGAAGAGGCCAAUCCUUGCCAGCAGAACCAAGUUUUGAAAAACACUGCUCCACCAUAUGUUCAGUCCUGACCAGCGUGAUAGUUCGGAGGCUGACAUCUGCAGAUGGGGAGUUCAUACCACCACUCAGCACAAACAUGCUGCUACUGUACACUGAAGUCAAUACUAGCCAGACUUUGCUUAGGAGAAAUUUUCAACACUGAUCUACAGUUUCACCUUGCCAACUAAUUUUUGUUACACUGGUGUAAAUGUAGUAGAUAUAAAAAGAAUCUCAGAGAAAAAUGGUGGUGCUGAUUGAAAAAGGGAGUCCCUGUGAAUCCUUUUGGUAAUCUCCUUUAGAAGGAAAACUCUUCUGUAUCAGAUAUUGCAUUGAAGCUGUUGGUGUAAUAGAAAACACUUGCUAAUGUUACAUAUGAUGGACCUUCAGGCAAGGCCACUGAACUCUAUUGGGCCUGUAGGGUCAUGCACUUCAAGGAUACAAUGUCCUUAAACAGUCCCCUGAACUUCUCUGAAGACCCAGUUAACCCAGUUUUUCUCUGAACAAGAUAUAUCAACCUUGCAAUAAGCACUGCAUGAACCAAAGUCUUUCCUGCCUUUUCUGAUGCCCUUCUUAAAGCAGCAAGAAUACUCUGCUUAAAUGUUUGUGGGAGUGGCAUUGGUACUUCUACAGAAGCACUAAGAUAAAAUGCAUUUUCCAUGCUACUUUUACUUUUUCUCCCCCUUGCUCCUCUCUCAUUCCAUCUGCAGCUCCUCAUGCAGUCCAAACACUUUUUCCAGGGCUUAAGCAGAUUUAUGGCUAGCAAUUUCCACAGGGACUGUGUGCAUGUUCUCUCAGGCAUGCCUAGGCACCAACACUCAUCAGAGGGCUGGAAAUCAAAAUCUGUGUCAGUUGUGCCACUGGCAGUGAAAUUCCAUGAGUUCACGUUUGUUGUGUCCCUCAUUCAGGCCUUUACUGUAUAGUAGUGCCCUUCUUCAAAAGGCUGUAUCUAAAGCCUCUGUGUGAAUUUCCUUUAAAAUGUUCUGCAGUCUCAUCUUAUAUGCACAUCUACCAUUGAUUAUUAAAUGGGAGAGUAAAUGGAAUCAUUUUCCUUUAUUAUGUUGCUCUGAAACUGAAAUGGACAAUGUCUGGACUCAUUCAUUCAUAGUAAUGUAAAUUCAUAGUAGAAAGACCUUAGAUGUGCAGUUAUAUGAAUUUCACUCAGAACUUUUCCUGCAUCAAAUUUGAAUCAUGCCUGAGCAUCAAACAGUUCAAAACAAUGGUAACUACAACACUGACUUUGCAAAUUCUAUUAUAUUGAGUAAAUUCAGCUUCCUAAUUUUUAUAGAUAUCAGCUACCUAAUUUCUUUUCAGUGUAGAUAAAAACCUCUCUCAUCCCACUUCUGAUCACUAAUGAUGCUGCUCAUCACCCUAACUGUUUUGCUAAAAAAAUUAAGGGAACAGCCAAAUAAUGAAGGGGACCAUUAUUAGCCCAACUAUACUGCAAGAACUGGUGUUUUGAAUAAGUGGGUAACCAGAUUUGCCCAACAUCUGAUGUAAGAUGAAAGACAGGCAAUCAGAGUACUUGCAAGUUGAAGACUCCCUAUUAAUAAGAUGUUUGCAAGUCUCUGCC